This 89-nucleotide microRNA precursor is filed under the name Canis lupus familiaris (dog). RNAcentral describes it as "mir-8799 microRNA precursor family". It matches the Rfam family "mir-8799 microRNA precursor family". Lineage: Eukaryota; Metazoa; Chordata; Mammalia; Carnivora; Canidae. RNAcentral also lists the same sequence under 1 other name. The record is from Rfam by way of RNAcentral.
CGGGGGAGGCCGGAUCCCGGGCUGUGUCCCGGCUCCCAGUGCUCCGGGGCCUGCGCUGUUGGAUUCGCGCUCCCGCCCCGCAGCCCCCU